RNAcentral lists this ribosomal RNA (758 nucleotides) under Corynebacterium sp. 'Mali 15'. RNAcentral describes it as "bacterial SSU rRNA". It matches the Rfam family "Bacterial small subunit ribosomal RNA", at positions 763 to 1533 of the family's 1533-position model. Lineage: Bacteria; Bacillati; Actinomycetota; Actinomycetes; Mycobacteriales; Corynebacteriaceae. The record is from RNAcentral.
GGGUAGCGAACAGGAUUAGAUACCCUGGUAGUCCAUGCCGUAAACGGUGGGCGCUAGGUGUAGGGGACUUCCACGUCUUCUGUGCCGCAGCUAACGCAUUAAGCGCCCCGCCUGGGGAGUACGGCCGCAAGGCUAAAACUCAAAGGAAUUGACGGGGGCCCGCACAAGCGGCGGAGCAUGUGGAUUAAUUCGAUGCAACGCGAAGAACCUUACCUGGGCUUGACAUACACCGGAUCGCUGCAGAGAUGUAGCUUCCCUUGUGGCUGGUGUACAGGUGGUGCAUGGUUGUCGUCAGCUCGUGUCGUGAGAUGUUGGGUUAAGUCCCGCAACGAGCGCAACCCUUGUCUUAUGUUGCCAUCACGUGAUGGUGGGCACUCAUGAGAGACUGCCGGGGUUAACUCGGAGGAAGGUGGGGAUGACGUCAAAUCAUCAUGCCCCUUAUGUCCAGGGCUUCACACAUGCUACAAUGGUCGGUACAGCGAGUUGCCACACCGUGAGGUGGAGCUAAUCUCUCAAAGCCGGCCUCAGUUCGGAUUGGGGUCUGCAACUCGACCCCAUGAAGUCGGAGUCGCUAGUAAUCGCAGAUCAGCAACGCUGCGGUGAAUACGUUCCCGGGCCUUGUACACACCGCCCGUCACGUCAUGAAAGUUGGUAACACCCGAAGCCAGUGGCCCAACCCUUGUGGGGGGAGCUGUCGAAGGUGGGAUCGGCGAUUGGGACGAAGUCGUAACAAGGUAGCCGUAAGCUUGGAUCCCGGG